UCAAUCUCAAAAAAGUCAGAGGCCAAUAAUGGAAUGAGGUCUUCUUUAGGAUUAAAAGAAGCACCCAGCUAAAGAAGCUUAUGAAUGCAUAUUGUGACCGGUAGUCGGUGAAUGCAAUUCGAUCGCAUUCUUGUCUAAUGAUCGUCGUUUUCGAGCCAGAUGAGCUGGAGAUGGAGGAUGGCGAUGAAAUUGAGGCAAUGUUGCAUCAAACUAGAGGCUCAACUGUUUGACUGAUCUCUUCCGCUUAAUGAAUAUAGCUUGUGCUCGGACCUGUAGGAGCAUAGAUGAGCUUCGUGGUUUUGCUCGGACCAGCUUUAUUGAACGUAAUUACAUUACCUUCUGUUGUUGCAAGAAGAUCAUCAGUUGCUUCUUGCCAUGAAAUUAAAAUAUUUUUAGUUCUAUCUAAAUAAAAUAAAAUAAAAAAAUCCCUCAAUUAAAUUUAGUAUUUCCUGUUUUGUCGAGCCAAAUGCGACUUAAAAAUGUGAGUAAGAAGGAGUAAGUAGUCCAACCUUAAGGAACCAUUUGAUUUGGGUCAUUUUGUUAAAUACUCCCGUACUUGCCAUGAAAUUCCCAAGUCAAUUAUAAAGUACUAUCCCAAGGAACCCAACUACCGAGUCGUCCAUUUCUCCUGAAAUUCCCAAUUCCAUUGCCACCAAAAAGAAACAAGAAAAUCCCAAUCCACUGUACCCACCACCAUGACACCACCACCAGUCUUCAUCUCCUCCGCCGCUCUCCCAACCCUCCUUUCUCACAAAUCCCUCAUCGACCACCUUCAAUUUUCCCUCCCCACCUUCACUUCCACCACUCAAUCCCAUCUUCGCCAUGCCCACCAAACAAGCCCUUCCACUUCUCUCCUCCUUAUGCCUUCUUGGUCUCUUUCCCCUUCACUUCCCUAUAUUGGUGUCAAGCUAGUCACUUAUCACCCCAACAAUUCCACCCAAAAUUUACCUGGGGUUCACGCAAGUUAUGUUCUUUUUAAUUCCAUCACUGGACAAACCUUAGCCACUAUGGAUGCCACUGAACUCACUGUCUACCGAACUGCUUGCAUCUCAGCUUUAGCUUCUAACUUCUUAUCAAGACAA
Molecule: long non-coding RNA, 1082 nt
Filed under: Nicotiana tabacum (common tobacco)
Lineage: Eukaryota; Viridiplantae; Streptophyta; Magnoliopsida; Solanales; Solanaceae
Description: long non-coding RNA (NTAB_LNC010119)
Source: RNAcentral